UUGCAGUUUCGUUAAAUUGUAAGCUUCGUGUUAAUCCAGUUUCCAGAAACAGUCGAAGUAAUCUAGCUGAGAGGCGACAAAGUUGCACGCUGCCAGGUGCCUGAUUAUACACCCAACAAUCCAACAACAACAAUACCAAUAACAACUGGCGAAAGUGUUGCAAACAGCAAUUCAAAUCGAGGAAGAGGGAAAAAACGGAUGCCGGACGCCAUCUUGCAGUUGUGCGCAAACAUGGCGGCCAUUCGAAUGGCUGAGUGCCUGGGCAACGUUUGGCGCAACAAUCGCAGCAACUUUUAUUUAUUGCAUAACUAGAGGCGUUUAUGCGCUCAAAGUCUGCUGCCAGCAGAAAACAAACAACAACAGUCCUCCCAUCCCCCAACAUCCAAUCCCUCAUCCAAAAUCCUCUUCCGAUUUCUUUUUCCCGUUUACCCAGGCUGGUGGUAUAAUAAUUACAUUCGCUAUCAGCGUCGACAUUCACCAUGAAAAAGUGCCUUGCAGCGCCACCUGUUGGGCUCCCAACAGCAAAUCCCUCUUCCCUUUCGCCUAGAACUCGUAAAUAUGCAAAGCCAUAAAACGCAAGUGUCACACGGAUUAUUCAUGAAUGGAGCAUGCAAAUGAAGCUCCACUCGGACCUAAGGUGUGCAUAUAUAUAUGUUUGUAUAUGUACGUGUUUGUGGGUGCUGUGGAGUCUUAAGACUGCAAAGCAUUAGAAGAAAAUGUUGAAACAAGUUGAAAGCUAAAACUUUGCGAAUGCACAGAGUUGAAGUUAGCUUUGUACAUAGAAGAGAU
Long non-coding RNA from Drosophila sulfurigaster albostrigata, 789 nucleotides. RefSeq lists it as uncharacterized. NCBI's taxonomy places the organism in Eukaryota, Metazoa, Arthropoda, Insecta, Diptera, Drosophilidae. The transcript has 3 exons. The record is from RefSeq and is a predicted model, not a curated record.